This 497-nucleotide ribosomal RNA is filed under the name uncultured bacterium. Its description in RNAcentral is "partial 16S ribosomal RNA". It matches the Rfam family "Bacterial small subunit ribosomal RNA", at positions 28 to 507 of the family's 1533-position model. The record is from RNAcentral.
GAUGAACGCUGGCGGCGUGCCUAAUACAUGCAAGUCGAGCGAACGGACGAGAAGCUUGCUUCUCUGAUGUUAGCGGCGGACGGGUGAGUAACACGUGGAUAACCUACCUAUAAGACUGGGAUAACUUCGGGAAACCGGAGCUAAUACCGGAUAAUAUAUUGAACCGCAUGGUUCAAUAGUGAAAGACGGUCUUGCUGUCACUUAUAGAUGGAUCCGCGCCGCAUUAGCUAGUUGGUAAGGUAACGGCUUACCAAGGCAACGAUGCGUAGCCGACCUGAGAGGGUGAUCGGCCACACUGGAACUGAGACACGGUCCAGACUCCUACGGGAGGCAGCAGUAGGGAAUCUUCCGCAAAGGGCGAAAGCCUGACGGAGCAACGCCGCGUGAGUGAUGAAGGUCUUCGGAUCGUAAAACUCUGUUAUUAGGGAAGAACAAAUGUGUAAGUAACUGUGCACAUCUUGACGGUACCUAAUCAGAAAGCCACGGCUAACUACGUG